RNAcentral lists this long non-coding RNA (1369 nucleotides) under Strigops habroptila (Kakapo). RNAcentral describes it as "lncRNA (ENSSHBG00005013373.1)". Lineage: Eukaryota; Metazoa; Chordata; Aves; Psittaciformes; Psittacidae. The record is from RNAcentral.
UUUCUCUCACUGCUCAACAUGUCAGUAUUAUUCCUGUGUCACUCAACUGUUUCUGUUUUUUGUUUAUUUAAGAGUUUGAUAUUUUUUCUCCUUUUUUUUUGUUUUUUUGUUUGUGGUUGGGGUUUGUGUGUGUAGUUUUUUGUUUUGUUUUAAAACUUUCUCUCCAUUUCAAUAGCAUGCCCUUCUUAUUCCAUUCCAUUAAUUGGACUUUUUUUCCGGUCCACAGUAUCUGAUCUCUCAUCCAGGACAUCACACUCUUCUGAUGCAGCCUCUUACUCACUACAACAACCUGUUUCAAUAAAAAUUCUGGCUGCUAAAAUCACUUUUCUCCCAUCCAACCACAUCAGCCUCCACCCACAGUAUUUUCACUGGCUCACAUUUCUUCUUCACAUUUCCUCAUGCUAUACUCGCUUUCAAGGGUACAAUAAAUUCUAGCUCUAUUUGGUUUUGUGUUUUUGGAUCUCUUUCCAAACCUCCAAGUCUGAUAACAAUCACCCUGGAUUUCCAUUUAUUCCUUUCUUUUAUAGCCUCUCCCAUUUUUACUUGCACUGUGCUCUGAACAUUACAGUCUAUAUUGGGGACAUUACAUUAAAGUCAGGCCCCCCUUGUUACCAUUAAAAUAAAAUAAAAAUAUACUUUCCAUGAGUUUUGUUUAGGAGAGUGGCAGCAGAAGAAAUCCAAAUGACAGUGUCCACAUCAACUAGGUGACCUGAAUAACUGUUUGAUCAAGAUCAAAAAAAGCAAUCAUUAUUUGGAAGCUUCUAUUACCAGUUUAUUAACUCAGGGAACUGUACAAUACAAGUAACUAUUUUACAUAUUUUUACUAUUGCUUUACCCUGAAAUGCUAUCCUGAUUUGGGAAAAAAGCACAAGAGAAUGAAAUCUUUGCAACCAACCAAACUAUCCCUGUCUCAACCAUAUCAUGAACUUUUCCUAACAAAUCCCUCCAUUUCCAUCAAGUGGCCAAUCAGAACCGUGAACUACAGUAAUUUCACUUCUUUAAAGCACUCUAUUGUUCUCAGUUUUCACCUUAGACAACAACAUCGUUUCUACACAGAAAAUUCACAUUCUUCCUGCUUUUGUUGCACAUGACAAAAUUACAGAAAAGACCAGCCCUACUGGAAUUUAUCAAUCAACAGAGCAUUCUUCUUGCAAACUACAAAAAACACUCUGUCUUAUAUCCUGGCACUAUGGAGCUCCCAGUACAAUCCCUGGAAGGAGAACAAACUCUCUGCGGCAUGCUCAGUACAGUGGACGGAUUUCCCCCUUCCUGCCCUCUUCUAGCUGUGAUAAACAAACACCAAAGCAAAGUCAUGCUGUAGAAGAAGGAAAAACAAAACAGAACACAGUAGAUUUCAACAUUAAUAAUA